This 253-nucleotide ribosomal RNA is filed under the name uncultured bacterium. Its description in RNAcentral is "partial 16S ribosomal RNA". It matches the Rfam family "Bacterial small subunit ribosomal RNA", at positions 524 to 776 of the family's 1533-position model. The record is from RNAcentral.
UACGUAGGGGGCUAGCGUUGUCCGGAAUCAUUGGGCGUAAAGAGCGUGUAGGCGGCCCGGUAAGUCCGCUGUGAAAGUCGGGGGCUCAACCCUCGAAUGCCGGUGGAUACUGUCGGGCUAGAGUGCGGAAGAGGCGAGUGGAAUUCCUGGUGUAGCGGUGAAAUGCGCAGAUAUCAGGAGGAACACCAAUGGCGAAGGCAGAUCUCUGGGCCGUAACUGACGCUGAGGAGCGAAAGCAUGGGGAGCGAACAGG